RNAcentral lists this ribosomal RNA (398 nucleotides) under Oxyrrhis marina. Its description in RNAcentral is "partial Bacterial small subunit ribosomal RNA". It matches the Rfam family "Bacterial small subunit ribosomal RNA", at positions 1110 to 1508 of the family's 1533-position model. Lineage: Eukaryota; Dinophyceae; Oxyrrhinales; Oxyrrhinaceae. The record is from RNAcentral.
GAUAGUUGCCAUCAUUUGGUUGGGCACUUUAUCGAGACUGCCGGUGACAAACCGGAGGAAGGUGGGGAUGACGUCAAAUCAUCAUGCCCCUUAUGUCUUGGGCUUCACGCAUGCUACAAUGGCCGGUACAAAGGGCUGCAAUACCGUAAGGUGGAGCGAAUCCCAAAAAGCCGGUCUCAGUUCGGAUUGGGGUCUGCAACUCGACCUCAUGAAGUCGGAGUCGCUAGUAAUCGCAGAUCAGCAACGCUGCGGUGAAUACGUUCCCGGGGCUUGUACACACCGCCCGUCAAGUCAUGAAAGUUGGUAACACCCGAAGCCGGUGGCCUAACCGUUGUGGGGGAGCCGUCGAAGGUGGGACUGGUGAUUAGGACUAAGUCGUAACAAGGUAGCCGUAGGGG